AAAAACAAAAAAAGGGAACCAUAUACUUUUAUUAUCCCUUUGCUAGCUAUACGUUUGCUAUCUUCCCAUCACUCUUUUCUGUACAAAAGCUAGCCUCAACUUUGAAGAGAAGAGGAAGAACGAGAUAAGGUGUAUAUAUGUACUCAGCUGAAGAAUCAAAGAAGAAUAGAUAGAUGAAGAUUAUAAGCUACUACGUUCUGUGGAGGAAAGCUCAUAUAUACUUAUAUCUACAUAUACAUAUAGUCAGUCUACUCGUCAUGCACCUGCAGCAGUUGAAGCUGCCAGCAUGAUCUGUUCUUACCUUCUAAUUAAUGGCAAGAACAGAUCAUGUGGGAGCUUCACCUGUUGAAUGGAAGCAUACAAACCCUAAAUGGAUUUUGUGAUUUACAACAAGGUUUUCAUUCAGUAUCACAUAACCCUAGAAAAGAAAGAAAGAGAGGGAAAGUUUAGAAAUAGAUGGUGGCAUAUGUUCAUGAUUCGAGUGACAGAAACGCGUGCGGUAUGUCCUCCUACCUUGGGGUUGGGGACAGUGGUUUUCAAUGAUUUUUAUCCUUGUCUCAUAGAUGCUUGUACUGACAAUUAAAGGCAUAGCAUUGUGCUUGGAGAGCUUUUCCGCACUUGUGGUAUCGCACCACUCAACUGUAAACUGGAUUAUUCGAGUAAUCGAUGAAUUGGUAUAGAAAUUAAAAAAAAAAAAAAAAAUUUAUUGUCUUUCUUUUCUACUGAGUUGAUUAUAUUAUGGAAAUCAUUAGUGCAGGAUGGUAUGAAAACUGCAUGUGUAUAAUUCACAUAUGAGCAGAGCAGACCAUCAAUUAAUUUAUUC
Gastrolobium bilobum is the source of this 823-nucleotide long non-coding RNA. RefSeq lists it as uncharacterized. The record is from RefSeq and is a predicted model, not a curated record. NCBI's taxonomy places the organism in Eukaryota, Viridiplantae, Streptophyta, Magnoliopsida, Fabales, Fabaceae. The transcript has 3 exons.